Molecule: ribosomal RNA, 339 nt
Filed under: Triticum aestivum (bread wheat)
Lineage: Eukaryota; Viridiplantae; Streptophyta; Magnoliopsida; Poales; Poaceae
Description: partial small subunit ribosomal RNA
Source: RNAcentral
AUGUCAGUUGACAUCUGGGUGUUGCAGGACUAUGAAAGCGAGGUCUGGACCCUCAAGUGCCAUAUUAAAUUGCCGGUUACAGAGGUUAGGGCGCGGUGUGAAAGUCUUGAUGAUGAUGAAUACUGGGAUGUGGUGGUCGAGCCUGGGGAUGGUCAGUUGAUCGUGCUGGUCAAACUUGCCGAGUGGCUGCUUCAAGUUGACAUGGAUGGCAAGUUGGUCGCCAAUUUCCAUCGCCAAGGUGUCUGGCCUACUCAAUUUCAACUCAAACAAUCUCUUGUUCCGCAUGCCUUCUUUCCAACACUAGAGGGCUAUGUUGUGAACGAGGUGCCUUUCUUAUGA